This 379-nucleotide unclassified non-coding RNA is filed under the name uncultured Alphaproteobacteria bacterium. RNAcentral describes it as "contains 16S-23S intergenic spacer region". Lineage: Bacteria; Pseudomonadati; Pseudomonadota; Alphaproteobacteria. The record is from RNAcentral.
UCCGGCUUAACGCCGGCAGUUUCCUUAGAGUGCCCAACUGAAUGCUGGCAACUAAGGAUGAGGGUUGCGCUCGUUGCGGGACUUAACCCAACAUCUCACGACACGAGCUGACGACAGCCAUGCAGCACCUGUCACCGAUCCAGCCAAGCUGAAGGUAAAGAUCUCUCUAAACCGCGAUCGGGAUGUCAAGGGCUGGUAAGGUUCUUCGCGUUGCCUCGAAUUAAACCACAUGCUCCACCGCUUGUGCGGGUCCCCGUCAAUUCCUUUGAGUUUUAAUCUUGCGACCGUACUCCCCAGGCGGAGUGCUUACUGCGUUAGCUGCGUCACUGAAAUCUAAAGAUUCCAACAACUAGCACUCAUCGUUUACGGCGUGGACUAC